This 2673-nucleotide long non-coding RNA is filed under the name Homo sapiens (human). Its description in RNAcentral is "HSALNT0385323". The record is from RNAcentral. Lineage: Eukaryota; Metazoa; Chordata; Mammalia; Primates; Hominidae.
CUCCUACUCCCAGGAGAUGAGGGUGUAAGGUCAGCUGAGAGAAAGGAAAAAUAGACCUAAAGUUAGGCAGGCAACUUUUUAUUAAUCUGCCAGCUGCUCCCCUAAUAGAGAGGAAGCAGCCCCAAGCUUACAGAAUGAGGGGAAGUAGCCCCAAGCUUACAGAAUGAGGGGUUUAUAUUGGGGAGGGGAGUUUGAUGGAGUUCUUUCGUAUGGCCGCAUCCUGGGGUUGUUUGCUGGUUAAUUUUGCUACAUAUUACCUUGUGACGUUUAUUACAGGAGGGUGUAGGUAAAGUUUGUUUAUGUUUCCCAUGACCUCCCCCUGUGCAGUGUGGGUGGUUUGUAAUUGGGGUUUGCUUAUUGCAGCAAGGUCUGAUAAGCAAAGUCUGCUGGCUUCACCGUGGUGCCUAGGUAAGGGCUUAGAAAUGUAAAGAGGCUUGGGGGAUGGGUGGACAGCACCAAGAAGGUUUCUUGGGCAGUUUGUCCCUAACAGAGGGCUGGUUUGGAGUCAGGGAAUCCUGGGGAAGAACACUGACCACUCAGGAAACAUAUCAAAAAACAGACACAUAUCCUAAGUCUACAUUCAUUUCAUAAAAAUGUAUUGGCCCCCUCUUGUGUGCCAAGCAUUAUUCUUGGGUGGCGAAGACAUUGGUGAGGCAAGAUAAAGUCCCUGCACUAAGUUUACACUAAGCUGGGGGAGAGAGAUACCAGGUAUGAAUUCAGCUGACACGAGUUUGGGGAAGACCUUCUAGGCAGAUUGUGUCCAGGAUAAAAACACAGAGGCACAGUUCUGAGGCUUCUAGCAUGGGACAGACAGACUCCUGGAGGAAUUUCUUAGAGAUAGCAUUGAAGGUCAUUGACAGAGGAAUUUGAUUUGCAAGUGUAGCCUAUAUAGAACAGAGUAGCUAGAACAAAGGCUCAUUAAGAUAGAGGCAUGGGCUCUAUUAGCUGGGCGUGGUGGCAAGUGCGUGUGGUCCCAGGUACUUGGGAGGCUGAGGUGGGAGGAUCACUUGAGUCCAGGAGGUUGAGGCUGCAGUGGGCCCAGAUCACGCCACUACACUCCAGCCUGGGCGACAGAGCGAGACCCUGUCUCAAAAAAGUGUUCAUAGCCAGUACCCCCAUGACCUUCCAGGCCCAUGGCAAACCAACCUUCUCAAAGUCAAACCCCCAUCUUUCCCUACAGGCAAACGAUCCCACUUAGCUCCAGCUAAAUGGAUGGAAUCUUUGUUCUCUGAACGUGCCUGUUUUUUUCUGGAGACAGAGUCAGUCUUCUUCUGUCACUCAGCAAAGUGCUGAGAUUACAGGCAUGAGUCACUGCCUGGCCUGACAUGCCUUUAUCUCUCUCUCUUUUUUUUUUUUUUGAGAUGGAGUCUCACUCUGUCGACCAGGCUGGAGUGCAGUGGCGUGAUCUCGGCUCACUGCAACCUCCGCCUCCUGGGUUCAAGUGAUUCUCCUGCCUCAGCCUCCUGAGUAGCUGAGACUACAGGCGCCUGCAAUCACACCCAGCUAAUUUUUGUGUUUUUAGUAGAAAUGGGGUUUCACCAUGUUGGCCAGGCUGGUCUUGAUCUCUUGACCUCGUGAUCCACCCACCUCGGCCUCCCAAAGUGCUGAGAUUACAUGUGUGAGCCACCGCGCCUAGCUAAUUGUUGUAGAGAUGGGUUUUCGCCAUGUUGCCCAGACUGGUCUUAAACUUCUGGGGCUCAAGUGAUCUGCUCCCAUUGGGCUCCCAAAGUGCUGGGAUUAUAGGCAUGAGCCACUGCGCCUGGCAACCUACAUUUUUAAAAGACACUCAGCCAGGCACAGUGGUUCACACCUGUAAUCCCAGCACUUUGGGAGGCUGAGAUGGGAGGAUCACUCAAGGUCAGGAGUUUGAGACCAGCCUGGGCUCCUGAGACAGGUUCCAAAAAUAAAAACCCAUAACAACAAAAGAAAGACCAGCCUGGGUGACAGAGUGAGAACUUUUCUCUAAAAAAUUUUUUUUUUUUAAUUAGCCAGGUAUAAUGGUGCACACUUGUAGUCCCAGCUAUGCAGGACUGAGGCGGGAGGAUGGCUUGAGCCCAGGAAUUCAAGGCUGCAGUGAGCUAAGAUCACACCACUGCAUUCUAACCUGGGUGACACAGACAGACCGUCUCAAAAUAAUAAUAAUGAUAAUAAUAAUAAAAGAUAACCUCGUGAUUCUGCAUCAGGGAGGCCUUAUUUGAAAAUACUAGCCUAGUAUUAACUUCUUUGGGUCAUAUACAUCUUUGCAUGCCUACAUGCCUAUUCCUAGAGACACACACAUACACAAACAUUCCAAGGAGUUUUAGGGGUCUUGGAGCUCAGAUCAACACCUAGCCUUAUUUUAUUAUUAUUAUUUUUUGAGACGGAGUUUCACUCUUUUUUUUUUUUUUUUUUUUUGAGACAGAGUCUCGCUUUGUCAUCCAGGCUGGAGUGUGCAGUGGUGCAAUCUCAGCUCACUGCAACCUCCGCCUCCUGGGUUCACGCCAUUCUCCUGCCUCAGCCUCCUGAGUAGCUGGGACUACAGGCGCCCACCACCUUGCCCGGCUAAUUUUUUUUGUAUUUUUAGUAGAGACAGGGUUUCACCAUGUUAGCCAGGAUGGUCUCAAUCUCCUGACCUCAUGAUCCGCCCGCCUCAGCCUGCCAACGUGCUGGGAUUACAGGUGUGAGCCACCGCGC